CCUUGACAUCCAGCGAACUUGGCAGAGAUGCCUUGGUGCCUUCGGAACGCUGAGACAGGUGCUGCAUGGCUGUCGUCAGCUCGUGUUGUGAAAUGUUGGGUUAAGUCCGCAACGAGCGCAACCCUUAUCCUUUGUUGCCAGCGAUUCGGUCGGGAACUCAAAGGAGACUGCCGGUGAUAAACCGGAGGAAGGUGGGGAUGACGUCAAGUCAUCAUGGCCCUUACGAGUAGGGCUACACACGUGCUACAAUGGCGCAUACAAAGAGAAGCGACCUCGCGAGAGCAAGCGGACCUCAUAAAGUGCGUCGUAGUCCGGAUCGGAGUCUGCAACUCGACUCCGUGAAGUCGGAAUCGCUAGUAAUCGUGGAUCAGAAUGCCACGGUGAAUACGUUCCCGGGCCUUGUACACACCGCCCGUCACACCAUGGGAGUGGGUUGCAAAAGAAGUAGGUAGCUUAACCUUCGGGAGGGCGCUUACCACUUUGUGAUUCAUGACUGGGGUGAAGUCGUAACAAGGUAGGCGUAGACGU
This 528-nucleotide ribosomal RNA is filed under the name uncultured bacterium. RNAcentral describes it as "bacterial SSU rRNA". It matches the Rfam family "Bacterial small subunit ribosomal RNA", at positions 979 to 1509 of the family's 1533-position model. The record is from RNAcentral.